RNAcentral lists this ribosomal RNA (767 nucleotides) under Austrochloritis kanangra. RNAcentral's name for it is "partial large subunit ribosomal RNA". The record is from RNAcentral. Lineage: Eukaryota; Metazoa; Mollusca; Gastropoda; Stylommatophora; Camaenidae.
UUAACUAAAUUAUAUAAUAUUAUAUUACACGAAGUUGAAGGAGCUAGUUAUUAUAUAUUUGUAGAUUUUGAGGUGUUGCAUAACUUAGUAAAUAAUAAUUAGGAGUGAUAGGCUUUCCACAUUUAACGAUAACUUGAUAAUCAAUAAAUGUAUAAGUACAUUGGCAUCCUUGAAGUGAUAAGGUUUUAAGGAUUAAUAUUAAUUGUUUCUUAAAUAAAAUAUUUUUGUUUAAUCACUUAUAUAAUAAUAUUCUAUAAUUAAUUUAAUAUAUUUAUUUAACUUAUUGAUUAAUGAAUAAAUAAUAUAAUUCAUAUAUAAUGUUAAUAUUAGUACUCUAUAGAUAUUAAAAAUGAACUCGGCAAUAAGCCCUUUAACUGUUUAUCAAAAACAUAGCCGCAAGGUAUGAUGUGCGGUGCUUUCUGCUCAAUGAUUAUUAAAUAGCCGCAGUACUCUGACUGUGCUAAGGUAGCGCAAUCAAUUGGCUUUUAAUUGGAGUCCGGUAUGAAGGAAAAUAUAAGGGGCUACUUUCUUAUUAAUAAUUAAUGAACUUACUUAAUAAGUGAAAAUACUUAUAAAUAAAUAAUAGACGAGAAGACCCUAGAAAUUUUAAGAAAUAACUUUUUGUUGGGGCAACAAAGUAGUAUUAGUUAAUCUACUAUUCUUACAUGCAAAUUAUAUCUUGAUAGAUAAAAUUACUCUAGGGAUAACAGCAUAAUUUGGAAAAGUUUGUGACCUCGAUGUUGGAUUAAGGUAUUAACAUUUAAAAG